RNAcentral lists this unclassified non-coding RNA (2657 nucleotides) under Leishmania donovani. RNAcentral describes it as "gene:LdHU3.33.0080(CDS-product:hypothetical_prote in_conserved)". Lineage: Eukaryota; Euglenozoa; Kinetoplastea; Trypanosomatida; Trypanosomatidae. The record is from RNAcentral.
AAAGCUGUCUGAAAGGGCAUUGACAUCACCAUGUCGGUCGCUCUUCCCUACGAUGUACUGUUUUGCACCAGCGAGGAUCCGCAUCAUCCUGUAUCAGAGCUGGGCGGAUGCAACGGUGAGGUAAAGCCUGGAUCGCCGAUACCGGCUGGCUGGCAGAGCGCGCGCCACGGCAAGACGCCACAAACUUUAGUCAUUCGCUUUCAGGGUAACGUGUGGUUGCAGCAGCUUCGCAUUCUCUCUCAUGAGGCAAAGAUCGCGACGAAAGUGGAGGUGCGCGUUGCGAAGCUCUCCGAAGGCGACGACUGGGACAACCCACCGUCGUUCCGCAACGUGCGGUUUGUCAAGCUUGGCUCCGUGGACUUCAACAGCAACGAACAGUCGCACUUCAAGUCGAAGGAACGCAAAACGGUCCACCUCAAAACAGAGGCCUAUUUCCUGAAGCUACUCUUUGACCGCCCUUUCAUCAACGCCUACAACACAGGGCAUCAGGUCGGAAUCUACUCUCUGGAGUGCAGCGGGUACCUGAUCGAGCCGAUCGCAUUCCACGCCGAUCGGUUGCCUGGAGUCGAGACACCGCCCCGGCGCCGCAACUCGGCUGCGCCGCCGACAAAGCAGGCAGCGACGAAGCGGCAGUCAUCUGGCACGCCACCGGCCUUGGUCUCGCUCGACGGCCCGCGCGCGAAAAGCGCGUCGAAUGCGAACGAGGGUGGUGGCAAGUCCAUGCCCCUCGCCUCUUUGACGUCCCCGCAACAGGCUCGCUUGUCCUACGGCGGCGGGGCGCCCUCUCACGCCGUGCCGAGCGGGAUCUUCCGCUCUGUCCGUAUCCUUGAGUUUGAGGACUUCUUUCUGCGUCGCUCCGAGGAGCUGGUGUCACUCAAGGCGGAGGCGGUGGCGAUCGAGGACUAUCACGUCGCCGCCGAGUGCCGGGACAAGCUGGCGCUGUUGAAUAGCCGGGCCAGGGAGGUCUACGAACUUGAGCAAGACAAGGUGCAGGCCAUAAUUGACGAGCAUUUCGACACCGCGCAGAAGUUGAAGAUUCGCAUGAACACGCUGGUUGAGCAGCUGUUCGAAGAGACCUCUCUGCCUUCUCCGGCAGCGGCGCCACCCUCUGCCCGAAGUGGCGAGUGGGUCUCCGGUGUCGCGAGCCACCUCCGGUAUAAUGUCAGCCUUCCCUCCACGCCUGUCUCCAUGGCUGGCACGCCGCACGCCGAUGAAGCUGUCGAGAAUGUGAAGUCUCCCGCACCUGACGCGAUCGAGGCGAACGAACAGGAAGCACAGGUAAUCAACGUGGACACGCUAGAGCCGCGCGAAAAGGCCGUCGCACACGCGAUUCUCUCCUGCGCUGGGAGCGAAGAGGUCGCCUCCGUGGCACUCGCGAAUCCUGGCUUCGACAUCCAGUUUCUUAUUGCCGCCGUCGGCAGCUUCACAGUGGCGUGCUUGUUUUCGCGAAGCUUCAAGUUGCGGGAGGCCGCCUUGAUUGUGCUGACCGAGAAGAUGGAUAUGCUGCCGUCUCCUGCGCAGGCUGUCGAGGAUGCACUACUUCGCUUUCUAGACCUCAACGCGUACGGCCUUCAGGACUCGAUCCCGAAUGUGGUGUUCGCGGCGUGCACUUUUGUUCGCAUGUGUCUCGACGACACAUCCAAGUGCAUCGGCGGUGUUCUCUCGCCUCUCGUUGCCCUCCUCCCGCGCCUCCUCACGCGAUGCAGCGACAACCUUCAGCGCAUCCGCGAUGAGGCGCUCACGACCCUGACACUGUACGUGAAGACCGCCGCCAUCCCGUCCAGCUCUAUCCUGUCAGCUGCGUUGAUGGAGCCAACAGACAAGGAGAGGCGAAAUCUGCCAUUCAGCAAUGCGAGGGCGCAGCUCGCGCGCUUGAGUUUGUUUCAGCUGCUUGUGGAAAACGGUCGCCUACACGUGGACAGCGCCGGCUUCCAUUCCGAGCAGGUGCUCCACAAACUACUUCUCCCCACGGUGAACCACCCCAACCCCGAGGUGCGCGAUUUGGCGGUUUCGAUUCUCGGAAAGCUCGUUGGCGGUCGUCAGCUCGCUGUACGGGACAAAGACCUUGCCAAGAUCACUCACGCCGGUAUUCGCGAGACCAUCGCCAGCAAGCGCUGAGUGACGCUGCGUAUAGAAGGGGCAGGGGCUCGUGUGGAGUGUGCUCCACUUUUUACUUUAGGCUCGAUACUGCGCGUAGCCGCAGCAGUGUGCGUUUGUAUACACUUACACGUCCAGCGGACAGCUGUGUGCGGGAGGCACCUAUGUACAAUACCAUCAGCACAGCAGCGAAUCAUGCGACCUGGUUUCACCACCUUUCACUCUCAGCUGUCGCCGCUCGACGCCUUUGCCGGGUAAACGGACACAGGGCGAUUUGUUGUAUUGCGCUGCGUUCAGCCUCCACAUGUGCACACGAGACAGAACGAGUAUCUUCUGCCCUGGGAGACUGCCCCGAUGUCUUGCUGUGCUUCUGUCUUGCUCCUUGCCACUCUGCAUUACGUGUGCUGGACGUUGAGCUUACCGCGUCGCCGUGCUCUCAUCUGCUCCGGAUCGCUCCUUCGCACUUGCGUUCACCACCCCGCGCGUCGUGACCGACACCCUCACACAUCCCAUUUUUGCUUGCCUCUCGCACUCCUGUCUUGGCACUGUGCCACCCGCAG